RNAcentral lists this ribosomal RNA (364 nucleotides) under Aspergillus niger. RNAcentral describes it as "SSU rRNA". It matches the Rfam family "Eukaryotic small subunit ribosomal RNA", at positions 865 to 1228 of the family's 1831-position model. Lineage: Eukaryota; Fungi; Ascomycota; Eurotiomycetes; Eurotiales; Aspergillaceae. The record is from RNAcentral.
AUGAUUAAUAGGGAUAGUCGGGGGCGUCAGUAUUCAGCUGUCAGAGGUGAAAUUCUUGGAUUUGCUGAAGACUAACUACUGCGAAAGCAUUCGCCAAGGAUGUUUUCAUUAAUCAGGGAACGAAAGUUAGGGGAUCGAAGACGAUCAGAUACCGUCGUAGUCUUAACCAUAAACUAUGCCGACUAGGGAUCGGACGGUGUUUCUAUUAUGACCCGUUCGGCACCUUACGAGAAAUCAAAGNUUUUGGGUUCUGGGGGGAGUAUGGUCGCAAGCUGAAACUUAAAGAAAUUGACGGAAGGGCACCACCAGGCGUGGAGCCUGCGGCUUAAUUUGACUCAACACGGGGAAACUCACAAGNCCAGAA